GCCUUGAAAGAAACAGAUUUACUAAACUAAUAGACAGCAAAGGUUGACAAAAAGAAAAGACAUGCAAGAAAGUUUUCCAGGACAGCAAUGCUUUGCUAAGGUGGAAAAGGAUUCCACAAGCAGCCAUUUUACCAUUCAGAAUUGUCCUUUUUUUCCCCUUAAAAUAUGUAUUUCAUUUUCAAUAUUCAAGUGUACUUCAGUGACCCCUUGACUGCUAUCUGCCGUGCAGAAAUGUGUUGGUCAAGCUCAAGCAUCUUCACAAGGGUUUCAAUAAUUGUUUGGGUAUGUUCCUUGAAGAUGAACUUUAAAUUUUUAGGUUUCUUUAACCAACCCUUGAUUUAAAUGGUGAAGAGUCAUGCCCUUGACAUACCCCGGAAUCUAAUGAUCUACAAGCAGAAAAACAAGGUGAUAUAAAAUUUCCAACCUAAAUA
This 431-nucleotide unclassified non-coding RNA is filed under the name Hevea brasiliensis (rubber tree). Lineage: Eukaryota; Viridiplantae; Streptophyta; Magnoliopsida; Malpighiales; Euphorbiaceae. The record is from RNAcentral.